RNAcentral lists this ribosomal RNA (336 nucleotides) under Myobia sp. mouse1. RNAcentral's name for it is "partial 16S ribosomal RNA". The record is from RNAcentral. Lineage: Eukaryota; Metazoa; Arthropoda; Arachnida; Trombidiformes; Myobiidae.
GUAUUUUGACUGUGCUAAGGUAGCAUAGUCAUUUGCUUUUUUAUUGAAAGCUUGUAUGAAUGGAGUUAUAGAGAAGAUUUAUUAAAUGUAUUUUUUUAAAAAUUUGAAUUGGGAGUGAAAAUUCUUUUAUUUUCUUAAAAGACGAGAAGACCCUAGAAUCUUUAUUUUGAAUAUAAAAUGAGCAAUUUUUUCUUGGGGGAAGAGUUUAUAGGUAUAAUUUGAUUUGUUAAGAGAACUUUGUUAGGAUAGAUGGAUAGAUACUUUAGGGAUAACAGGAUGAUGAUAGUUAAAAGUUCUUAUUUUAGCUUUAGCUUAUUACCUCGAUGUUGGCUUUUG